AUUGAACGCUGGCGGCAGGCUUAACACAUGCAAGUCGAACGAUGACUCUCUAGCUUGCUAGAGAUGAUUAGUGGCGGACGGGUGAGUAACAUUUAGGAAUCUACCUAGUAGUGGGGGAUAGCUCGGGGAAACUCGAAUUAAUACCGCAUACGACCUACGGGUGAAAGGGGGCGCAAGCUCUUGCUAUUAGAUGAGCCUAAAUCAGAUUAGCUAGUUGGUGGGGUAAAGGCCCACCAAGGCGACGAUCUGUAACUGGUCUGAGAGGAUGAUCAGUCACACCGGAACUGAGACACGGUCCGGACUCCUACGGGAGGCAGCAGUGGGGAAUAUUGGACAAUGGGGGCAACCCUGAUCCAGCCAUGCCGCGUGUGUGAAGAAGGCCUUUUGGUUGUAAAGCACUUUAAGCAGGGAGGAGAGGCUAAUGGUUAAUACCCAUUAGAUUAGACGUUACCUGCAGAAUAAGAACCGGCUAACUCUGUG
This 480-nucleotide ribosomal RNA is filed under the name uncultured bacterium. Its description in RNAcentral is "partial 16S ribosomal RNA". It matches the Rfam family "Bacterial small subunit ribosomal RNA", at positions 30 to 507 of the family's 1533-position model. The record is from RNAcentral.